This is a long non-coding RNA of Astatotilapia calliptera (eastern happy), 1076 nucleotides long. Lineage: Eukaryota; Metazoa; Chordata; Actinopteri; Cichliformes; Cichlidae. The record is from Ensembl.
GAGGUAUGACCCUGAAGGUAAGCGAGUCAUGGACUAAAGUAAAACAGUAUGUUGGAUGUGCCACGCAAUGCUCAAUUACAUGGGUGGGAACUAGUGUGUUAGCGCAUUUAGCUCGUUAACGUGUUGGCCGUCUAGCCCCACGCACGGGGCGAUCAGGGGUAGCUCGUUAACGGAGAUUUGCCGUGUUGUGGCGUUAACGUCAUUUCAAUGAGAUUAACGCUGACAGCACUAGUGGGAACACAACGAAUAUGACUGCACGUUUACGCCGACAUCAUCCUAGUGCAAAGACAAGUGGAAGCAGACAAAAACAACAAGCAUGCAUGCUACAAACUUUACUCGAGUCAUUUAGACAGCCGUUAGCACAUGAUUCUCCUUAUGGGGACCUGAUAUGUUUAAUAUUGUGGCAAGCUCAGACAAGGUGGAGAUGGAGGUGUCCAUAGCUGGACUGGCCAUCGGGCAUACCGGGCAUUUGCCCGGUGGGCCGCUGGCGAUUUUUUGUUUUUAUGGGCCGAUGGAUUUUUUUUUUUAGGAAGGGUAUAUAUAAUGAAAGGUGCUGGAUUGGCCAAUUGGUCAUGAUCGACUCUGGGCUGGACCAAUUACAGCCGAGGAGGCCGACUGCACCCGCCCCCUUGUUUAGCAAUCACGUGAUUUUCGCGCAUCGCAUGCCGGGAAAUCGUGGCAAAACAAUCCAAGUACCGCAUCAAAUGCAAGCAUUUGCAGCACCGCAAAACGUUCAUUCUCCGGUUCCAAUACCUUCUUGUUUUUUCUUUGCCGCACAAAAAAGGAAUGUACAAAACAAAAGGAGAACAAUGCCGGUCCGUACAAAGACAGACUCGACGAAAAGACAAAGAAAAGAUACGAGGAAAAAAAUCAAAGGAGUGAAAGGGUCAGACCCUUACGAGCACACAGAGGGACAAAAGACGUCAGUGUGCUGCCCAACUUUCACCACGCUCAGAUUUAUAAUUAUACGGUUCUUGGAGUGAGUGCAUACACUCAUGAAGUUUAGUAACUUCAGGUCACUGCAACAAGCCCAGGUACAGUUUACCCACGGAUGGGUGCAGGACCUUGAAACGCAC